Molecule: long non-coding RNA, 2952 nt
Organism: Mus musculus (house mouse)
Lineage: Eukaryota; Metazoa; Chordata; Mammalia; Rodentia; Muridae
Product: predicted gene, 33236
Exons: 5
Source: RefSeq, a predicted model, not a curated record
GCCCGGACUCUUUUAGCUGCUGCAAUUGGCCUUUAAAUAAAUGGAGUCGUGUUCCAAUGGUGAACUGCAUCAGACAAGUACAUAGAUGUAUCUGCAUGCCUGCAUGCCUACUGACGUCUUUGGUAUCCUAAAGGAAGACUGGAAUGGACUGAACACUACAAAUAUUUAUCUUGACAGUGAAAAGAAAUCAAAGAACAAUUUGAUCUUCAGGAGAAUACUGCUGCUGUGGCAAUCCUGAAUAUCACGAAGUACCAACGGCUGUGUUCCAUUCAAGUGUCUUCUGGGAUGAGGAAGGGCUCUUGUCAUCUUGCCUGGCUGCCUUAGUUACAAUACGUGAGGGGGCUCUUGCCUAUGUCUGCUGCUGUGCCUUUCCUACGGUGAUGGAUCUUAUCUUUGGAAACCGUGAGUUGGAAUCCACCCCUUGCUACCUGAAAUGGCUUCUUUGAGAUAUUUCGUCACUGGGAUGAGAAGAGGAGCUAACACAGAUCUAACCUCCCAUCCUGGUGGAUGCGCAUGAGUUCAGCAUUCCAUGGCAGAGGCAACAGUUCGCAUCUGCAUCCUUUGGACAUCUCACUUUCUCUAUAGGUCUUAGACCUGCGCACCACCGCUCAAGGGCACUGCUCCUCUCUUUGCAAGUGCCAUUUGGGGGUGAAGGGGGAAUCAAGCCAUGGAGAAAAGGUAGCCAGUCUGGGCUGGAUGGGCCUGGAUAUGAACCCUUCUCUCCCCAUAGGCUUGAGCCACAAAUUAGGUGCCAUCUCUGACACUGACAGGUCCUCCCUACCGGACUAAACAGGAAUAGUCGUGACAUCAACAGGCAUUCAAGAUCCAGGUGACUUCUGGGAGAUGAACAAAAGGCCAUCAUGUCCAAUUUCAUCUGUGGUCCUCACGAGAUAACAGGGGAAUGUCACAUACUUGGAGAGAAGGCUCUUACCAGAGCUAAGUAGAAUGAUGGCCAUUGGUGUGACUUCUGAGCCACGGUGAUGCUGGAAGUGGCAGGCUGUGUGCCACUGUCCCUCUACCAAGGCAUCAGAGCUAUACCUGCCUGGGUCCUUCAGAAACCCAUUCCCUUUGUCUGGGACCUAAUAUUUCCUUGUACAGCUUGCUCAACAACAGGUCACCUAGGGAUGACCAGCAAGUGUCACAUGCAUAGUUAAUUUGAUUGCAGAUUAAAAUCUAGAGGAACCCUUAAACUUGCAUUUCAGAGAAGGGAAAAAUUCAUUUUUACCUUAAGACCUCUUGGAUAUAUGGUUCAUAGUCACAUGGAAGAACGAAUGUUUAUUUGAAAUUCACAUUUAGCUAAUUUUCCCAUACUUUGUGUGUGUGUGUGUGUGUGUGUGUGUGUGUGUGUGUGUGUGUGUGUGUGUGAUUGUACAAGUAUGUCCCUGCAGGUGGAGAUUAGAGGUCAGCUGUGGACGUUGUUCCUCAGCAGUUGCCCACUUUAUUUUUUGGGACAGAGUUUCUCACUGGUCCGAAGCUUAUGGGGCAGGCAGGACUGCCUGGUCUGUGAGCCCCACCUUAUCUCUGCUUCCCCAACACAGGAGUCAGAAAUGUCCACCACCACACUGGGAUGAUUUGUUUAGGCUCUGGGAAAUCAGGCUGACUUGUUUGCAAGGCAAACACUUUAUCUUCCAGGCCAUCUCCUUGCCCCUCUCUCAUGCUUGUGGAAUCUGGACCCCAGUCAGGCAUCUUUCUCCCGUACCUUGCAAGCCUUCUGACAUCAUUUGUAACACACCAUGCACCUACACCGUACAUGUGUAGCUGGCCUCCCUCAGACCAGGCUCCACACAGCAUGCCUUCUUCCUUGACUACAGCUGCUGUCUUUUCAUGGUCUCCCCUCUUUCUCUCAUAACCGCAUCAUAUCUAUUUCUUGUAUGCAACAUUUUUUUUUCUCCAAAACGUCAGCCACAUGAAGUCGCCACUCAAUGACCAGAGCUCUGAAUUGAAUCCAAAUCCUUCUGAUACCCAUGAGCCUCCUCUUUCAACUUCUGCCUGUCAUCAUCCAGAUCUCCUUUUCUCUAUCUUCCUUUGUGUAGACACACCAAGGUCAGCCUCUACGCUACAUGGCUUUUUCAUAGCCUAUGCCCCCUUGUGUCCUUAAGUCCCUCGCAACACUCAGUUUGACAGAGCCCGUUCCUGCCACUCUGGUCCUGUAACUUGUCGUCACUUCUUAUUGUUACUUCCUGUGUUACUGGUUUUGGGGACUGUUUUCCUGUACUCCUCCCUCAGAAGUGGGAAUUGGAGCCACACUUGGGUUAUCUCCUGUUCUUGAUGCCCAGUUUAAUGCUUCAUGAAUCCCAAUCAAACAAUUGGAAAGGACAAAGAUCAUGCCAGUACUCUCUUUAUUCAGAAGCUGGGGAGGCCCUGGGGCUCCAGGAUCUGACUUCCCAAUCCCCCCACUCCUGUUUUCUUCAGGACCAAAGACAGCAGCAGAUCUUUGCAAAUCCCUUGUGCCCACCAGCUCAGCACAGACACCUUGUGGAACCUGAGCAUCUGCCACUUGUGGCACACAGUUAAGCACAUGGCCGGCUGCUGGCGACAAACCAAGAGGUUAUCGAGCUCCUGGAACACAGCUACUGGAAAAGAAAAUGAAAGGAAAGAAAAUCAAAUCAGUCCUGGAAAACUUUGAGUGUUACACACAUCCUUAAUAGACUCUGACUUCCAGCUUUCUCUCUAGGGUAUGGAAGUUCAGAACUGCUAAGUAGUCGAAUAUAUUCGUGAAGAAAAAAAUUCAUAUGGACAAAGAACACAAUAAACAUCUCUAAUUAGGAGUAAAAUAGGCAGAUAAAGGACUUGUGUGCAUGUCACAGCCACUCGGGGGAUGCUGGCCCUGGAGCUGUCUCCCCCUGCGCCAGUGGGGGAGAGUUUGAUUUAUAUGAAUGUUGGCUAUUUGCAGCAAGGAGAGCCCUGCUUGCCACCAGAAAGCAAAAAGACAUCUCUGAGGAGUGGGUGGUU